ACUUCCUGAGCCGGAACGAAAAGUUUUCAGAAUUGGUGGGAAACUGCUGAUUUCAGAAGGCUUUUGGCUUGUGGUCGUGAUGUUGUGUUUGCAAAUUGAUCUGACGCUUUUCAGAUCGGGUAGCUCAGCUACCGUUUAUUCCUGUAGAUUUACCCUGUCUGUCCAUAGUGAUUUUAACAGCACCGCAAACUGCGGUGCUUUUUUUU
Molecule: non-coding RNA, 206 nt
Organism: Pantoea sp. PSNIH2
Lineage: Bacteria; Pseudomonadati; Pseudomonadota; Gammaproteobacteria; Enterobacterales; Erwiniaceae
Source: Rfam